This 581-nucleotide long non-coding RNA is filed under the name Coffea arabica (coffee). RNAcentral describes it as "long non-coding RNA (CARA_LNC003190)". The record is from RNAcentral. Lineage: Eukaryota; Viridiplantae; Streptophyta; Magnoliopsida; Gentianales; Rubiaceae.
AGGACAUUUACUACAAAUAUUGAAGCCAGUGAUUCCUUAGGUUCCGGUGGAGAGGACUUCAAGGCAGCUGACCCCAAAGGACAAGACUCUGUCAUCGUUAAUUCUUCUAGCGCCCUCAAGUGCUAGUGGUGGGAGACAUUGCUGGGAAUAACGUUGAGGAUGCAACAAUUUUGGCCAUAGCCAAAUCUCAUGAUGCACUUGCCUCAUUUAGGCCUCCUUAGGUUUGUUAUUACUCGCCAUCCGUCUUGCUAUUGUCCCCAUCUUUUCCAUUAUCUCCAUCUUACUUUGUUUCUUUAUUUCAGAUUCCAUCGACCAAUGCUAUCACGACCAACGUUAGGGUACCAGUACUGUCCUCCUCUCUACUUCUACUUUCAUUUCGUCUCCUCUACCACUGAGCUCACUUUCUAUUCUUAUCCAAGUUCUCUCUUCCAUCUUUGCUUUUGUUUUUACCAGCUCGCUAACCGUUCAUCUUACUCAAUCAACAAUCCACAUCAUGACGUUUCCUAUUGCUAUGGCUCCUCUUACCAUAUCUAACCUUCCUCCCAUGGUCAACUUUCCUUUCUCAUCAGACACCCUUUAAG